RNAcentral lists this ribosomal RNA (253 nucleotides) under uncultured bacterium. RNAcentral describes it as "partial 16S ribosomal RNA". It matches the Rfam family "Bacterial small subunit ribosomal RNA", at positions 524 to 776 of the family's 1533-position model. The record is from RNAcentral.
UACGGAGGGGGCAAGCGUUGUUCGGAAUUAUUGGGCGUAAAGAGUAUGUAGGCGGCUAGAUAAGUCAGACGUGUAAGCCCAUGGCUCAACCAUGGAAUUGCGUUUGAAACUAUUUAGCUUGAGUGCAGGAGAGGAAAGCGGAAUUCCCAGUGUAGCGGUGAAAUGCAUUGAUAUUGGGAAGAACACCGGUGGCGAAGGCGGCUUUCUGGUCUGUUACUGACGCUGAGAUACGAAAGCCAGGGGAGCAAAGGGG